This 253-nucleotide ribosomal RNA is filed under the name uncultured bacterium. Its description in RNAcentral is "partial 16S ribosomal RNA". It matches the Rfam family "Bacterial small subunit ribosomal RNA", at positions 524 to 776 of the family's 1533-position model. The record is from RNAcentral.
UACGUAGGGCGCAAGCGUUAUCCGGAAUUAUUGGGCGUAAAGAGCUCGUAGGCGGUUUGUCGCGUCUGCCGUGAAAGUCCGGGGCUCAACUCCGGAUCUGCGGUGGGUACGGGCAGACUAGAGUGAUGUAGGGGAGACUGGAAUUCCUGGUGUAGCGGUGAAAUGCGCAGAUAUCAGGAGGAACACCGAUGGCGAAGGCGGCGAUCUGGGUAGAUACUGACGCUGAGGUGCGAAAGCGUGGGGAGCAAACAGG